Unclassified non-coding RNA from Callithrix jacchus (white-tufted-ear marmoset), 298 nucleotides. It matches the Rfam family "Metazoan signal recognition particle RNA". Rfam says of the family: The signal recognition particle (SRP) is a universally conserved ribonucleoprotein. NCBI's taxonomy places the organism in Eukaryota, Metazoa, Chordata, Mammalia, Primates, Cebidae. The record is from Ensembl.
GCCAGGUGCAGUGGUGAGUGCCUGUAGACCCAGCUACUUGGGAGGCUGAGGUGGGAGGAUCCCUUGAGCCCAGGAGUUCUGGGCUGUAGUGCGCUAUACCAAUCGGGUGUCCGCACUACGUUGGGCAUCAAUAUGGUGACCUCCCAGGAGCAGGGAACCACUAGGUUGCCUAAGGAGGGGUGAAUCGGCCCAGGUCGGAAAUGGAGCAGGUCAAAACUCAUGUGCUGAUCAGCAGUGGGAUCGCACCUGAAUAGCCACUGCACUCCAGCCUGGGUAACAUAGCGAGACCCCGUCUCUA